Molecule: unclassified non-coding RNA, 271 nt
Filed under: Hevea brasiliensis (rubber tree)
Lineage: Eukaryota; Viridiplantae; Streptophyta; Magnoliopsida; Malpighiales; Euphorbiaceae
Source: RNAcentral
CUGCUGUGUUAGAGCUUCACCGCCUUACCCCAGGCAUGGAAGGUAAACUAAAAAUUGACCUCCAUUUGCUCUAUCCCUAACUGGAAAACCAAACUCCAACUCCCUAGUUGGAUUCUGUAUUAAGAGUAUAAAGAUUCAUUCAGGCCNGGCCUAGUUUGACCUGUGAAUGAUUAUGCUCUAUUUACAGAUUAACAGAUAAAUAUAUGUAAGUAACAAACAAUGGAUUUCAUCUCCUACUUGCAACUUCUAAAGGGGGUUAGCUAAUUAAAAC